AGUCCUGUAGUAAAGUUUACGUUAGAUUGCAAAUCUCUCAACGGAGCAUAAAGGUUCUCCCGGGGCUU
This 68-nucleotide transfer RNA is filed under the name Bathyraja interrupta (sandpaper skate). Its description in RNAcentral is "tRNA-Cys". Lineage: Eukaryota; Metazoa; Chordata; Chondrichthyes; Rajiformes; Arhynchobatidae. The record is from RNAcentral.